CCUACGGGCGGCAGCAGUGAGGAAUAUUGGACAAUGGACGAGAGUCUGAACCAGCCACGUAGCGUGAAGGAUGAAUGCCCUCUGGGUUGUAAGCUUCUUUUAUAUGGGAAUACAAUGUUCAACGUGUGGGAUUUUGUAUGUACCAUAUGAAUACGGAUCGGCUAAGUCCGUGCCAGCAGCCGCGGUAAUACGGAGGAUCCGAGCGUUAUCCGGAUUUAUUGGGUUUAAAGGGAUCGUAGGUGGAUUGUUAAGUCAGUUGUGAAAGUUUGUGGCACAACCGUACGAUUGCAGUUGAAACUGGCAGUCUAGAGUACAGUAGAGGUGAGCGGAAUUCGUGGUGUAGCGGUGAAAUGCUUAGAUAUCACGAAGAACACCGAUUGCGAAGGCAGUUCACUGGACUGCAACUGACACUGAGGCUCGAAAGUGUGGGUAUCAAACAGGAUUAGAUACCCCUGUAGUC
This 460-nucleotide ribosomal RNA is filed under the name uncultured bacterium. Its description in RNAcentral is "partial 16S ribosomal RNA". It matches the Rfam family "Bacterial small subunit ribosomal RNA", at positions 338 to 795 of the family's 1533-position model. The record is from RNAcentral.